This 1200-nucleotide long non-coding RNA is filed under the name Vulpes vulpes (red fox). RNAcentral's name for it is "lncRNA (ENSVVUG00000024546.1)". Lineage: Eukaryota; Metazoa; Chordata; Mammalia; Carnivora; Canidae. The record is from RNAcentral.
UUUGACUCUGAUGGGUCCUUGCACUUGAGGCGUGGCUGUGGGAGAGGGUGUACACGUUUUGGUGGUAAAAGGGAACUAUCAGAAAGUCGAUUCCAUAGUUUUCAGAGUCCUCAGGGAGGGGAGAGUGUUAAGGAAACAGUUUACAGAACAUGUUUGCAGCCCAAUAGGCUUCCUCAGCGGAUCCUUCACUGACCAUGCCAUCCUGAUGCCACCCUCUUUUGGCCUUGAAGAACUUCCAUUUGAAAUAUGGAAGGGCCAGUGCAUAGUUUCUGAGAAAAACCUUCUUUGUCUUUUGGUUUAAAUCGACUUGGUUGACACUAUCUGGGCUUUGAAAGCCCCGCACCUGCCCGGGCGCUGUUGGAAAGGAGCACUGGAAAGCGUUCAGUGACGAAGGUCACCCAGCUCUCUCACAGUUCCCACUGGACAGUGUUUCCAUGAGGCCUGGAGAAUAUUUCGGACAGUCACCUGCUCCCAGGUCCCACAGACUAUUCGUGGAGCAGAGUCAAAGCCCUAGCACCGUGACGGCACCGUCUGUGUAUUCAACCCUUUGGCAUGACCCAGCAAUGAGGUUUUUUAUUUUUAUUUGUUUUUAUUUUUUAAGAAUGUUGGACCCCAUCGCAUCUGUGUAGAUAAUUCCCUCUUACAGCCAAUACAUCUUUGCAACACGAAGAUCCCUUGGGUGGUGACACUCUCCAACGUGGCCAAGGAUAGCACCUUUUGUUCCUGGGUUAGUAGAUAUUGCUGAGGCCACAGACCCCAGGAACAGGAGUACGAUUGUAAGAAGGACUCUGAAACAGCAUUUUAUUUUUACCUCUGUCUUUAUCUAUAUCAAAUCGUUCAAGAAAUAGAAAGAUCCAGGCUGAAAGCCUAUUCCAUACACUGCGUUGCAAGAUCGAGGUACUGGUGGCAAUGGCUUGAAGUUCAGGGAAUAUGUCUUGGAAUAAGAAAUGGAUCCAUAAGUACUCACAUUCGGGUCUCCUUUGAUCCCCGUUUUCCUUUAACUUCUUUUCCACUUUAAAGUAGGCCGAUCGGGGGCUCUCAUCUAUGAUCACUGAACACUCCAUGUCAAGAAUCAUAUAAAAUCGCCAAACAGGUCAUAUCACCAUGAUGAGGCCAUGGAUACCGGGAAAGCAGCAGAGAGGUAAGAGGUUGGGAGUCAGAAGGCUGCCUCUGUAGUUAGAAAAGUCUCUCCACCUUUCC